GAUGAAGAACGUAGCGAAAUGCGAUACGUAAUGUGAAUUGCAGAAUUCAGUGAAUCAUCGAAUCUUUGAACGCAUAUUGCGCUCUCUGGUAUUCCGGAGAGCAUGCUUGUUUGAGUAUCAGUAAACACCUCAACUCCCUUUUCUUUUUUGAAAUUGGAGCUGGACUUGAGUGAUCCCAACGCUUUCUUCCAAGAAAGUGGCGGGUUGCUUGAAAUGCAGGUGCAGCUGAACUUUUCUCUGAGCUAUAAGCAUAUCUAUUUAGUCUGCCUAAAAAACAGAUUAUUACCUUUGCUGCAGCUAACAUAAAGGAGACUAGUUCUUGUGCUGACUGAUGCAGGAUUCACAGAGACAGCUUCGGCUGACUUUGUAAACUCGAUCUCAAAUCAAGUAAGACCACCCGCUGAACUUAAGCAUAUCAAUAAGCGGAUGA
This 430-nucleotide unclassified non-coding RNA is filed under the name soil metagenome. RNAcentral describes it as "partial contains 5.8S ribosomal RNA, internal transcribed spacer 2, and large subunit ribosomal RNA". The stretch from base 1 to 120 matches the Rfam family "5.8S ribosomal RNA", at positions 35 to 154 of the family's 154-position model. The record is from RNAcentral.